GAUGAAGAACGUGGCGAAAUGCGAUAAGUAAUGUGAAUUGCAGAAUUCAGUGAAUCAUCGAAUCUUUGAACGCACAUUGCGCCCCUUGGUAUUCCGAGGGGCAUGCCUGUUCGAGCGUCAUUAUAACCCCUCAAGCUCAGCUUGGUGUUGGGGCCUGCUGCACUGGCAGCCCUUAAAAUCAGUGGCGGCGCCAUCUGGCUCUAAGCGUAGUAAUUCUUCUCGCUAUGGAGUCCUGGUGGAUGCUUGCCAUCAACCCCCAAUUUUUCUAUGGUUGACCUCGGAUCAGGUAGGGAUACCCGCUGAACUUAAGCAUAUCAAUAAGCGGAGGA
This 329-nucleotide unclassified non-coding RNA is filed under the name soil metagenome. Its description in RNAcentral is "partial contains 5.8S ribosomal RNA, internal transcribed spacer 2, and large subunit ribosomal RNA". The stretch from base 1 to 120 matches the Rfam family "5.8S ribosomal RNA", at positions 35 to 154 of the family's 154-position model. The record is from RNAcentral.